UUUUGUUUACAUGCAUUUUGCAUCUUGUUGCUCGGCUUUCUUGAAUUCUUAUGAAGGUCCUUUACGCCUGUUGCCAAAGCACAGAGUUUUGUGUCGCCUGGGAAAUUAAUUUGAACGAUUCGCCGAUCCAUCUGAGCACGCACGUUCCGUGUUGUCCAUUCAGCUCUGAUUCCAACCCAGCUCUGUCCUUCUGGGAGAUCAUCUAGCCCACCUGUUGUCCACUUCUGCCUCAGGAACCCAACUUGCUGCAUUUGUGGCCUUCACAUGUGACCGAGAUGGAGAUGGAGGCAGUUUGCUGCUAGCAGUCGGUGUUCACUCCAGAACCCAGCGAGGAGAUGCAAGCACCAGAGUGUCGGGUCCACUUUUUCUGGUCGAUUGCCUCCACCGCCAAGUGGACCCAAGCUGAUAGGACUCGUCAGGUUCCGUGUUGUCCAUUCAACUCUGAUUCCGACCCAGCUCUGCCUCUCUUGGGGGUCAUCUAGUCCACCUGCUGUCCGCUUCCGCCUCAGGAACCAAACUUGCUGCAUUUGUGGUUUAAUGUAGCUUCUCAUGUGACUGAGAUGGAGAUGGAGGCAGUUUGCUGCUAGCAGUCGGUGUUCACUCCAGAACCCAGCGAGGAGGUGCAAGCACCAGUGUGUUGGGUUCACUCCUUCUGGUCGAUUGCCUCCACCACCAAGACUCAAGCGGACAGGACUCUCUUACUUUAGUUGUGUAGACAGUUUUGUUUCCAUUCUCUAGCAUCCUUUGACAUACAUAUCAGUCUAUCAGAAGAAAUGUUUAUCGUGCAAGUGAAAAUCUCUGUUUGAGAUACGCCACUUGGGUAGAUUCCCCCCUCUUCCCCAAUUUAGUCACUGAUGUGUUGCUGUAAAUUUUUUAUUAAAAUUGUCAUUUAAUUAAUUAUAACAAUCCUGUUGUUCUUUUUCUUUAUUCCACUUU
Molecule: long non-coding RNA, 936 nt
Filed under: Thrips palmi
Lineage: Eukaryota; Metazoa; Arthropoda; Insecta; Thysanoptera; Thripidae
Description: uncharacterized LOC117654327, transcript variant X2
Source: RNAcentral